GAUGGCCUGACUUGUCUGCUGUGGUGUGGCAGCCUCACCUAACAGAAGCUGAAUUUCUGGCUAAUAAUUUAAUGAAGGCUUCGCUGUAUUUCCAAUUACUGGAAAAAGCCAUGAUUCUUUUUUGCUACGUGUUAUAAAAUCAGCCCUUCAUACUCUACAGAGCCAGGGGAGAGCACCUGAUCCCUCUCUUUGAGCUCCUAAUCGGUCCUGCAGCAAAGCCUGCCUGCUCCUCAGCGAUGUGCUGGGCUGUACAGAGGUGCUGCCCACGGGGCCAGGAGCCAGCUCCCAAAUGGAGAAGGGUACCAGAGGUAGAGCACCACACCCAGGGCACCUACCCAGCCCCAGGACCCUCCUUGCCCUGCGCAAGGCUGAGGUAGAUGGAGCUGGCGCAGACUGGCGCCACAAAUAAGGUAGCGUGGGAGGAAAACUUGGAAGGACAAAUUACCGUGAGUAUUGAUUCCCCCGGCUGCUUGCAGAGGGAUUUCAUUUUGCAACACUGCCAAUGACAUUAUGUGCAGGAUCUUGUCCAUGGCUGGUUUGGUGGCAUUAAGAGAAUUACUUUGGCCUAAUGAAUAGAAAUAAGAAUAUUUCAACCUCCUCCCUGGAAAGUAAUGGUGGAUCAUCAAGUGUGCAGCCAAGUUCAGGUCUAGUCACUUGCCAAGUGAAUGCAAAUGACGGGUUGUUUUAUUUAAUGGAGACCAUGGUGUGUUGGCCAAAACUGUUGUCUCUUUUCUCUGUGGAUUGCCCUCCCCACCCUGCUUCUAAAUCAGACCUUGUCUCUGCUCCCGACUGGCUUCUUUUUUCAAGCAGAAGAGAUUUUUUGCUGAUUCUUGCACUGAAAUCUGUCUGUAGAUUGCACCAAAACUCCUAAAUCAGCUGUAUUUUAUGCUGUGCUAUGGGGGGACGCAGGAGCUGGUGUGCUAGUGGUGGUCACCGCCAGCCUGCAGUGGAGCCAGAGCUCCCUGUCUUCUUCCAGCUCGGAGACGGUGAGAUGCUCCAUCGAUGUCACUGCUGCCCAUCCCACCGUGACCAAGGAGACAUUGUGGAGCCCCAUACCCUGGCAUCGGGCCCUUCACUGGCACAGUGGCGCGGGAGCACCUGGGCUGCAAUGCGCUUGGGUUCGGACAAACCACUUGCUCUUGCAGCACACCAACACCUCUGCUGUUCAGCUGCCUUUCAGCUGGGCGCCUGCCAGCUGCUCCCCUCCAAAGCCCAUCCAUCCUCCACCGGCACAGCCCAUGGAAGUGCCGCUUCCCUGAGCUGCUCCUGUUAACAAGAUGUUUGCAGGGGUAAAAGCCCCUGCGAAGGGCCAGCCCCUCAGCUGCUGUACAUACACACAGCCUGAAUGCCAGGCAGGUGCACUGACCUCCAGGGUCCGGGCAGCGCAAAAGCAGGGCUGCACCCCCAGCCCAGCACAGGGUCCAGCAAACCAAGGCCAGGGGCACUGGGGACAUGGGGGAGUCCCGUCCGGUCAGGGCCUUAAUUUAGUGCUACGCUUACAGUGACUUAUUAAACUCUUUGAACACAGGCUGUGCCUCACCAUGGCUCACAAAUUAGAUCAGCAUGAGACAAAAUACUUACCAUCAUGAACAAACAUUUUCAGAUGGGAUGCAGCGUUUUGCUUCAUACAACAGUGAUGAUUUGUAACAGUAAUGGCUGAGGGUGGUUUUUUUCCCCGUUCUUUUGUAAAAACCAGAAAGUGUUUGCAAAGUAAACUCUGACAUUUCAGCUACAGACCAGUCACCUUUCAAGUGAAAUGGCUGUGAGCACUCACUGGCAGUUAAUCCCUGCAUGGAGAUUUUUGCUUAAAGAGCUGGAGGGAGGUGGGGAUUUUGUUCAUUUGUUCAGAAUCAGGGUUCUGUCCUAAUUAAUGUUUUAGUUGACAGGGAGAAUGCGUUUCUGCUUUGUUUCGCCAAGUGUUUUGAUGUACGAGCAGAGAUGUUGUGUGAGAUGUGUGUUUGCAAAAGAAGCUGACAGGAAAGAUCAAAACUGAUUUGUUACGUUCGGAGAGAAAGAGGCUCCAUAACCGCAAAACAGAGCAGGGAGUGACUGAAGGCCCCAGACACCAGCAGUUUGGAACUGAAAUUGUGGCUGUAACUGGUGACCAAAGUCCUGUUGAACUUGCGGAAGCCACGGUUUCACGCCAGGUGUCUGUCAUGGCCCAGUCCUCCCUCCCAGUCCCAGUUUCUGACCUGCCCCAGACAACGGAACUCAGCACAGCUCUGGGCUUUUCUCCUGCGGCAUGAGCCCAAGGGCUUCUCCUGCUCCAAGGCACAGCCCUCCUGGACUGAUUGUCAUCCACAGCAACACCACGGCUGGGUCUGAAGUUGGUGCCAGCUGAGGCGCUUCAGCUGAGGUGCACGGAUGUGGAGCUGGGUGCUCUCGCCUCUCCAAAGAGCCAAGGCACCUUGUCCUGACACUGGUGUGAGCCGGCACUGUGCUUGAGCUCAUCUCCCACUCGGUGCCUGGAGUCACUGCCCCAGCCCUGUGGGAUGCCGUGCUGGGAGCGGGAUUUGGAGAUGCAGCACAAAAGCGUGGAGGGACGUGGUGAGCCUCAGACGUCCCCAGGCUGAGCGACGGGCUCCUUCAGCAAAGGAUGGAGCCUGCGGAGGCCUCUUGCUGAGAAGUUGUUGUUCAAGGUGCUUUUCAUAAUAUUUAAAAAAUGUGUUUGCUUCCUCUCGCAAAUGUUCAAACAUCUUUAAAGUGUCUGUGGUGCCAAGCUGCUUCUCACCCUGUUUUAAGAGAAAAUAAGCUUUCUUUAAGGAAAAGGAGCCACAAAAAGCGCAGCAAGCCCAAAGUUAACAGUGAGCAGACCGAAACUAAAUUAACACCAGCAAGACUUCAGCUGCCCCUCCAAAAUAUUGUGUCUCACGGCAAAGGGUCCGGGAAAAGAUGGGAGAACAGAUUGUUUUAGCGCAUCUUCACGGUGUCUCUGCGGCACAGAUGACGCUCAGGCUGGGUCCCCUUCCCCUUGCCAAGCCUGCAGUGGGGACUCCCAGCCCCUCCAAAAGUGGACAGUGGGAGGCACAGGCUUGGCAGUGCCAUGAGCACCUGUGGGUCCAGCGCUGUGGGGGGAUGCGACUCAGGAUGCUGCAGCCAGCCAGUUUGGAGAAGCAUCACCUGCAAAACCAGAGCAUGAGCCUGAAAAAGGAGCCUGGUGGUGAGAAGGAGGCAAGGGACAGGGAAGAAGAGCCUGGCCUUUCUCCACUGCCAUAAAGGCGGAGGCAAGAGAGCAGGAGCAUUGGCCAUCGGCCGUGGUGUCACAGCUCCGUGUGGAUUACGUUGGCCAGCUUCAGUGAUGGAAAUAGGCAGCUAACAGUGAGUUCCUCUUUGUAACAGAUAAUAGUCAAAACAGCUUGAAAACUAUUCAUAAUGAGAGCUCUG
Aquila chrysaetos chrysaetos is the source of this 3384-nucleotide long non-coding RNA. RefSeq lists it as uncharacterized. The record is from RefSeq and is a predicted model, not a curated record. The transcript is spliced from 3 exons. NCBI's taxonomy places the organism in Eukaryota, Metazoa, Chordata, Aves, Accipitriformes, Accipitridae.